UACGGAGGGUGCGAGCGUUGUCCGGAAUCACUGGGCGUAAAGGGCGCGUAGGCGGCGCGGAUAGUCGGCGGUGAAAGCCCGGAGCUCAACUCCGGGUCGGCCGUCGAUACUUCCGGGCUUGAGCACUGUAGAGGCAGAUGGAAUUCCGGGUGUAGCGGUGGAAUGCGCAGAUAUCAGGAGGAACACCAAUAGCGAAGGCAGCUCGCUGGGACGGUACUGACGCUGAGGCGCGAAAGCGUGGGGGAGCGAACAGG
RNAcentral lists this ribosomal RNA (254 nucleotides) under uncultured bacterium. RNAcentral describes it as "partial 16S ribosomal RNA". It matches the Rfam family "Bacterial small subunit ribosomal RNA", at positions 524 to 776 of the family's 1533-position model. The record is from RNAcentral.